GAUGAACGCUGGCGGCGUGCCUAAUACAUGCAAGUCGAGCGAACAGACGAGGAGCUUGCUCCUCUGAUGUUAGCGGCGGACGGGUGAGUAACACGUGGAUAACCUACCUAUAAGACUGGGAUAACUUCGGGAAACCGGAGCUAAUACCGGAUAACAUGUUGAACCGCAUGGUUCAACAGUGAAAGACGGUCUUGCUGUCACUUAUAGAUGGAUCCGCGCCGCAUUAGCUAGUUGGUAAGGUAACGGCUUACCAAGGCAACGAUGCGUAGCCGACCUGAGAGGGUGUUCGGCCACACUGGAACUGAGACACGGUCCAGACUCCUACGGGAGGCAGCAGUAGGGAAUCUUCCGCAAUGGGCGAAAGCCUGACGGAGCAACGCCGCGUGAGUGAAGAAGGUCUUCGGAUCGUAAAACUCUGUUAUUAGGGAAGAACAAAUGUGUAAGUAACUAUGCACGUCUUGACGGUACCUAAUCAGAAAGCCACGGCUAACUACGUG
Molecule: ribosomal RNA, 497 nt
Filed under: uncultured bacterium
Lineage: Bacteria
Description: partial 16S ribosomal RNA
Rfam family: Bacterial small subunit ribosomal RNA
Source: RNAcentral